AGAGCUUGCUCUCUGAUGGUCGAGUGGCGAACGAGUGAGUAAUAUAUCGGAACGUACCUAGUAAUGGGGAACAACCAGCCGAAAGGUUGGCUAAUACCGCAUACGACCUACGGGUGAAAGCAGGGGAUCUUCGGACCUUGCGUUAUUAGAGCGGCCGAUAUCUGAUUAGGUAGUUGGUGGGGUAAAGGCCUACCAAGCCGACGAUCAGUAGCUGGUCUGAGAGGACGAUCAGCCACACUGGAACUGAGACACGGUCCAGACUCCUACGGGAGGCAGCAGUGGGGAAUUUUGGACAAUGGGGGAAACCCUGAUCCAGCCAUUCCGCGUGAGUGAAGAAGGCCUUCGGGUUGUAAAGCUCUUUCGCAAGAGAAGAAAUCUUACUAUCGAAUAAAUAGUAAGGAUGACGGUAUCUUGACAAGAAGCACCGGCUAACUACGUGCCAGCAGCCGCGGUAAUACGUAGGGUGCGAGCGUUAAUCGGAAUUACUGGGCGUAAAGCGUGCGCAGGCGGUUUUAUAAGUCAGAUGUGAAAUCCCCGAGCUCAACUUGGGAACUGCGUUUGAAACUGUAAGACUAGAGUGUGUCAGAGGGGGGUAGAAUUCCACGUGUAGCAGUGAAAUGCGUAGAGAUGUGGAGGAAUACCAAUGGCGAAGGCAGCCCCCUGGGAUAACACUGACGCUCAUGCACGAAAGCGUGGGGAGCAAACAGGAUUAGAUACCCUGGUAGUCCACGCCCUAAACGAUGUCUACUAGUUGUUGGUGGAGUAAAAUCCAUGAGUAACGCAGCUAACGCGUGAAGUAGACCGCCUGGGGAGUACGGUCGCAAGAUUAAAACUCAAAGGAAUUGACGG
RNAcentral lists this ribosomal RNA (849 nucleotides) under uncultured marine bacterium. Its description in RNAcentral is "bacterial SSU rRNA". It matches the Rfam family "Bacterial small subunit ribosomal RNA", at positions 75 to 916 of the family's 1533-position model. The record is from RNAcentral.